AUGAUGAACAAUCCUAAAUUAAAUAGAAAUAUACCAUGGCAUGAUUCGAAUAUUCAUAAUCACAUAAUAAAUAUGCAAAAAGCAUUGGAAAAACAGGAAUUUAUGACAAUGUCAGCGAAUGGAUUUGAUUAUUUUUUAAAAAAUAAAGCAAACAAACUAAAAAAUGAUGAAACAAUUUUUUAUAAUACAUUAGUUGAUUGGUUACAAAAUGAUUAUAUAGGUAAUUUGUUUUUUAAUGAUUUUAUUUUUUUAAAUAAAAAAUUAAUUGCAUGGAAACUUAGUUAUUUUCAAACGAAUAUUGAUGAUUCAGAAAUAUCAUCCAAAUGGUUAAAAACAUGUAAAGAAAUAAUGAAAAUAGAAGAUUAUAAUCUACAAUUAUUAUGUUUCCAUACAAGUGCUUUAUUUAAUGAAACAGAUGAAGCAAUUAUAGAAGUAACAUUAAAAAAUUUGGGUAUUACUAUUGUAACUAUAUUAAUAGUUACAGCAUAUGUGAUUAAAGGAUAUAAUUCUUGUAUUAUUAUAGCAAUUACAAUUUUCUUAAUCGACUUAUGUAUAUUUGGUUUUAUGUGUCUCUGUGGUAUUACGAUGAAUAUUAUAUCCAUGGUUAUUCUGGUUCUUUCAGUGGGUUUCUCUAUUGAUCAUACAUCUCACAUUGUUCAGGCGUUUACUCACAGUAUGGGAAGAACUAGAGAUGAAAAGAUGAAAGAAAGCUUACACCUUAUACUAGGACCAGUAUUACAUAGUGGUUUGUCUACCUGGUGUGUGAUAAGUACUUUAUUCUUUUCGAAUAAAGAUUUUACGGUUAUAUUUUUUCAGACGUUAAGCUUGGUAAUGAUUUAAAAUUAAGAAGAAAAAAGAGCAAAAAAAAUACUGUACAAGCAGUUUCAUACUUUUCAUAUGUACAUGUGUAGUGACAUCAUAUUUGUAUUACAUUUACAAAACCUGAUUAUAUUUGCUUCUUUAUAUGUAUACGCACAUAUAUAUAUAUAUAUAUAUACAUUUACCUACUAUUUUUUUUAUUUUUUUAUUUUAUAACGGUUUUGCAGGUUCUAUUUUUUUCGGUUGCAUUAUCAUCCGUACUUUUACCUGUCAUUCUUUCAAGCUUUGGCCCCUUAUAACCAUAUUAUUUUUUUAUUACAUUUUUUUUUUUUUUCAUUUUUUUUUUUUCAUUUUAAACUAUCCAAUCAUAAAAAGUAAUUAACAAAUAUAAUAUAUUUUAUAUUCAUUUCGAAUUAUUGUUCGCAAAUAUUUUUUGUCCAUUGUGAUUUUAUGUCUGUAUAAUUUUUUUUUUUUUUUUUUUGCAUUUUU
RNAcentral lists this long non-coding RNA (1308 nucleotides) under Piliocolobus tephrosceles (Ugandan red Colobus). RNAcentral's name for it is "lncRNA (ENSPTEG00000024909.1)". Lineage: Eukaryota; Metazoa; Chordata; Mammalia; Primates; Cercopithecidae. The record is from RNAcentral.